Long non-coding RNA from Nematolebias whitei (Rio pearlfish), 90 nucleotides. RefSeq lists it as uncharacterized. The record is from RefSeq and is a predicted model, not a curated record. The transcript has 3 exons. Lineage: Eukaryota; Metazoa; Chordata; Actinopteri; Cyprinodontiformes; Rivulidae.
AACCCCUGAGCUGACUGCUGUGCAAACCAAAAUAAUCUGCAAACACUCCUCUGAUGUGUUAAGCAACUUUGCUGAACGUUUGAUGGAGAG